Long non-coding RNA from Brassica oleracea var. oleracea, 453 nucleotides. RefSeq lists it as uncharacterized. The transcript is spliced from 2 exons. NCBI's taxonomy places the organism in Eukaryota, Viridiplantae, Streptophyta, Magnoliopsida, Brassicales, Brassicaceae. The record is from RefSeq and is a predicted model, not a curated record.
AAGAACAAUUGUUCGCUGUAUAAAAAAUAUUACUAUGGCUAUCACAAAAACUUGGGUGACUUUUUGUCUCGCAAUAAUUUUAGUGUCUUCGUUGUCAAAUCACAACGUUUUGACUUCAGGUGCAGAAAUGGAGAAGGUCCAACAUAAGUAUACGUUUUGCGCUAAAAGUCUGUGUACAGACUCGUACUCACCACGUAUGUGCUUCGUUGACUGUGUUUCUAAAGGGUUUCUAACCGGAGAUUGUAUUACUCCUCCCAAUUCUCCGUUACGUUGUUGUUGUGCCAAUGAAUGAAUUGAGCGUUGUAUUACAAUUUCCUGAGUAUAAGUUCAAUUCCUAAUGAACCCAACGAAAUAAAGCUAUUUCAUUAUAAUGAAAGUGUUUAACCAAUCAAUGUCAACGGAAUAAAACUAUUGAUUAUAAGAUAUAGUAAAGAUUGUCGUUCACGAAAAAAA